GGAGGAGUGGCCGAGUGGCUUAAGGCGGCGGUCUUGAAAACCGUUGCAGGGUAACCUGCCGUGGGUUCGAAUCCUACCUCCUCCGCCA
This 88-nucleotide transfer RNA is filed under the name Myxococcales bacterium. Its description in RNAcentral is "tRNA-Ser". It matches the Rfam family "tRNA". Rfam says of the family: Transfer RNA (tRNA) molecules are approximately 80 nucleotides in length. Their secondary structure includes four short double-helical elements and three loops (D, anti-codon, and T loops). Lineage: Bacteria; Pseudomonadati; Myxococcota; Myxococcia; Myxococcales. The record is from RNAcentral.